UGACGAGGAUGAGAACCUCCGGGGGCAAGAGGUUCGACCCGAGCGAAGCGAGAGAACGUUGCGUCAGCAACGGCCCGCAGUGGCAAGUCAUCCUCUGUCACCGGCAG
This 107-nucleotide small RNA is filed under the name Salmonella enterica subsp. enterica serovar Derby. Its description in RNAcentral is "RtT sRNA". It matches the Rfam family "RtT RNA". From Rfam's summary of the family: This family represents a bacterial cis-regulatory element known as RtT RNA. The exact function of RtT is unknown although it is thought that it may be involved in changing the cellular response in relation to amino acid starvation. Lineage: Bacteria; Pseudomonadati; Pseudomonadota; Gammaproteobacteria; Enterobacterales; Enterobacteriaceae. RNAcentral also lists the same sequence under 2 other names. The record is from RNAcentral.